This 424-nucleotide long non-coding RNA is filed under the name Mytilus galloprovincialis (Mediterranean mussel). Lineage: Eukaryota; Metazoa; Mollusca; Bivalvia; Mytilida; Mytilidae. The record is from RNAcentral.
AUUUUUUGGAGACUCGAGUUGCACAAAUAAACGACCUUUUAAAAAAUAAAAAAUAGUUUUAAUCUUUGAAAUUUCGUAAUACAAAACAUAGAUUUCGAAUUGUUUUUGUAAUUGCAUUUUUCCAUGUCGAAAUUGGUGAUUGCAGACACGUGGCAAGUGUCAGCUUGGGAUAUUCGCAUCCAAACAGUUAUCACCCUGAGGGCAAUUAACACCUGGCUAUUCAAUCUCUUAAUUGCCUUUAGUGUCUGACUUAAAGGGAUUACAAUUAAAGGUGAUUUAAUUUUUAUGAUUAUAAUCGAUAAUAGAUGAAAGUUCAAAAUUGAGGACAAGUAAAAUAGCAUCUUCAAAAUAAUUAUAGUGUCGCGGGAAUUAUUAUAGCAUCACGGUGAAAAAAUAUACCGCGACGCUAAAACGGCCUGGGGAG